GAUGAACGCUGGCGGCGUGCCUAAUACAUGCAAGUCGAGCGAACGGACGAGAAGCUUGCUUUUCUGAUGUUAGCGGCGGACGGGUGAGUAACACGUGGAUAACCUACCUAUAAGACUGGGAUAACUUCGGGAAACCGGAGCUAAUACCGGAUAAUAUUUUGAACCGCAUGGUUCAAAAGUGAAAGACGGUCUUGCUGUCACUUAUAGAUGGAUCCGCGCUGCAUUAGCUAGUUGGUAAGGUAACGGCUUACCAAGGCAACGAUGCAUAGCCGACCUGAGAGGGGGAUAGGCCACACGAGAACGGAGACACGGACCAGGCUCCUGAGGGAGGCAGCAGUAGGGAAUCGUCCGCAAUGGGCGAAAGCCUGACGGAGCAACGCCGCGUGAGUGAUGAAGGUCUUCGGAUCGUAAAACUCUGUUAUUAGGGAAGAACAUAUGUGUAAGUAACUGUGCACAUCUUGACGGUAACUAAUAAGAAAGCCACGGCUAACUACGUG
Molecule: ribosomal RNA, 497 nt
Filed under: uncultured bacterium
Lineage: Bacteria
Description: partial 16S ribosomal RNA
Rfam family: Bacterial small subunit ribosomal RNA
Source: RNAcentral